Molecule: ribosomal RNA, 253 nt
Filed under: uncultured bacterium
Lineage: Bacteria
Description: partial 16S ribosomal RNA
Rfam family: Bacterial small subunit ribosomal RNA
Source: RNAcentral
UACGGAGGGUGCAAACGUUGCUCGGAAUCAUUGGGCGUAAAGCGCACGUAGGCGGUCCGGUAAGUCGGGUGUGAAAGCCCUCGGCUCAACCGAGGAAGUGCAUUCGAAACUACCGGACUUGAGUAUGGAAGAGGGUCGCGGAAUUCCCGGUGUAGAGGUGAAAUUCGUAGAUAUCGUGAGGAAGGCCAGUGGCGAAGGCGGAUCUCUGGACAGUUCCUGACGCUGAGGCACGAAGGCCAGGGGAGCAAACGGG